GUCUGAUGCCAACGUUUUCUUUACUGGUCCUCAUUUGGCGGAAAUGGUUGUAGGGACAAAUUUAAUAACAACAAUUGCAUCUAUACCCCAAGAGGGAAAUUGCAUAUAUUUUAUGUAGACGGGGUCAACAAAGAAAGCACCAGUAAGGAUGUGUGUAUCUGUAUUGCAUUCUGUAGCAGUAACUGAGGCACUCCAGCUAUUGUGAAAUAAAUUGUCAUAUUGGUGUAGUAUAUUGCAUAAUCUUAUCUCAAUGCUCUACAUUUUUAUAUUUAAUGUCAUUCUUGUGUAAGCUCUAUGAGAU
Non-coding RNA from Pelobates cultripes (western spadefoot toad), 301 nucleotides. NCBI's taxonomy places the organism in Eukaryota, Metazoa, Chordata, Amphibia, Anura, Pelobatidae. The record is from the annotation of a GenBank genome assembly.